AUUGUGCUUGUGCCUGCUGCUGCACACUCGCAGGCACGGGGCUAUAAUGAGGCGCACGCGAUCCCGGCUUCUCAACUUUGCCUUCUCGAAGGACACCGGGGUUUUAAAUCGCCUGGGCUAGAAUUACCAGGAAGGAAAAGAGAGAGAAAUGAAAUCCCAACUGUACCUGACGGCGUCUGGGAAUCCCUCGCCGGCACCGAUCAUAAUCCCCCUCCGCGCCUCUGGCCCCCCACACCAAAACUUUUCCGCUGCCGCCGCCGCUCCUCGGUUCUGACCGCCGCCCGCCGCUCCUGGCCAGCCCCUGGGGCCCGCUGCCCGCCGCCGCUCCGCUCCGGAGCGGCCCCCGCGUCUCCCUCCUCCCUUAGGAGGCAGCGGCAUCGUCCUCCCCCCUUCUCCUCCACCUCCUCCUACGGCGCGCAGCCCGCGGCUCUGGCAUCCCCAACGCACUUUCUCUCCUCGAUUCGCUCCUCUUUUCCCCGCCGCUCCUCCUUCUCCGGCAAAAAAGAAAUGAGAAGGGGCCACAGGGACGUUGCUUUCUUUUUCUUUCUUUUUUUUUUUUUUUUCUCUCUCUGUCUCUGUCCUCUAGAAAUGGUGCGAGGAUCACAUGAGACGCUGGCACGGAGACCCAGGACCCUUGGACGUCGGAGGAGGCAGCGGACACAUAGAUCCCAAGACAAUUCCUCUUCACUCAGUGUGGCCCAGACAAGACAAAAGACUGGACACCCCUAUUCAGGAUAAUUCUGAAGUCUCUGAACUCUUCCUGAAGCAGAUAUGAAUUAGCCUUUGCUACGAUCUUGAUGGUCAUGCUCAACACUGUUAAAAGUUCAUAGAAUCAUAGACUAUUCUGAGUUGGAAGGGACACACAAAGAUCAUCAAAUCUAACUCCUGGCUCCACACAGGACCGCCCACAUUUCAAACCAUAUAUCUGAGAAUGUUGUCCAGUUGCUUCUUGAAUUCCAGGAGACUUGGUGCCAUGACCACUUCCAUGGGGAACCUGUCACAGUGCCCUGCCACUAGAAGAAAUUUUUCCUCAUAUUCAACCUGAAGUUGUUUAACCUUAUGCGGGAAAAAGAGUCUAUCACAACUAGUGAUUUUCUUGGAGGAAAAAAAAACCCUGUAGUUAUGUCCACAGGCGGACCUUCCUGUUUGUAUGAGAUCAAAACAAUCUAUUAGGCCUUGGCUUUCAAAAUAUGAAAUACAAUGUAAACUCAUAAGAGAUUUCAGUCCAGUUUGUACGAGUUAGCAACGUCCCUUUGCAGAGAAGACAACUUAACGGUUAUCAUGGGCUGCAGGGCUGCAAUAGGAGCAGCCAGCAGGUCAAGGAGUAGGGGGAAUCUUUCCCAUUUAUUCAACACUGGUGAAAUGACAACUGGAGUACUGUCUUGUUCUGUGUUCCCUGAUACAAGAGAUGUGGACAUACUAGAAAGAGUUCCGUGAACAGCCACUAAGAUAAUAGGGUACUGAGCAUUUCUCCUACGAGGAAAAGGUGAGAGAGCUGGAAUUGCUCAGCCUGGAGAAGACUCAAGGGAGGGAUCUUAUCAGCGUCUAUAUGUACCUGAAAGGAAAGCAUAAAGAAGAUAGACCCUUUUUUCUGCUCUUUUUUUUCAGUGGUGCCUAAUGGUAGGGCAAAAGACAAUAAGCACAAGCUGAAACACAGGAGGUUCUGUCUGAAUGCUUUUUUUUAAACUGUGUUGUUGACUGAGCACUGGCACAGGUUGCCCACAGAGAUUGUGAAAGC
Molecule: long non-coding RNA, 1738 nt
Filed under: Numida meleagris (helmeted guineafowl)
Lineage: Eukaryota; Metazoa; Chordata; Aves; Galliformes; Numididae
Description: lncRNA (ENSNMEG00000022444.1)
Source: RNAcentral